Molecule: long non-coding RNA, 270 nt
Filed under: Ananas comosus (pineapple)
Lineage: Eukaryota; Viridiplantae; Streptophyta; Magnoliopsida; Poales; Bromeliaceae
Description: long non-coding RNA (ACOM_LNC022653)
Source: RNAcentral
UGAAACUAAUAUAAAGGUAUACAAAUCUAGAUCUAAAUUGAAAUGAAGUAGAUUUUUAAGUAAAAUAAAGACAUGGUUGGAGAAAGAGACUACCCACUCUUGCUGCAACUUGGUGGAUUGUUUGGUUGAAAUGUAAUUAUGCGAUCUUUUGAAAAGGGAAAGAGGCCCUUAGAUUUUUAAUUUUUUUUCCCUCUUGAAAAUGUGAAUCAAUUAGGAUUCAAACUUGGGACCUCGAGUACCAACCACCAAGCCUUCUGCCACUUACUCUAG